CACAUGACUCUCGGCAAUGGAUAUCUCGGCUCUCACAUCAAUGAAGAAAGUAGCGAAAUGUGAUACUUGGUGUGAAUUGUAGAAUCUCGUGUACCAUCGAGUCUUUGAAAGCAAGUUGUGCCAGAAGCUGUCAGGCCAAGGGCACAUCUGCCUGGGCAUCACCC
RNAcentral lists this ribosomal RNA (164 nucleotides) under Haldina cordifolia. RNAcentral describes it as "5.8S ribosomal RNA". It matches the Rfam family "5.8S ribosomal RNA". From Rfam's summary of the family: 5.8S ribosomal RNA (5.8S rRNA) is a component of the large subunit of the eukaryotic ribosome. It is transcribed by RNA polymerase I as part of the 45S precursor that also contains 18S and 28S rRNA. The record is from RNAcentral. Lineage: Eukaryota; Viridiplantae; Streptophyta; Magnoliopsida; Gentianales; Rubiaceae.